This 56-nucleotide transfer RNA is filed under the name Fukomys damarensis (Damara mole-rat). It matches the Rfam family "tRNA", at positions 8 to 63 of the family's 71-position model. From Rfam's summary of the family: Transfer RNA (tRNA) molecules are approximately 80 nucleotides in length. Their secondary structure includes four short double-helical elements and three loops (D, anti-codon, and T loops). Further hydrogen bonds mediate the characteristic L-shaped molecular structure. tRNAs have two regions of fundamental functional importance: the anti-codon, which is responsible for specific mRNA codon recognition, and the 3' end, to which the tRNAs corresponding amino acid is attached (by aminoacyl-tRNA synthetases). tRNAs cope with the degeneracy of the genetic code in two manners: having more than one tRNA (with a specific anti-codon) for a particular amino acid; and 'wobble' base-pairing, i.e. permitting non-standard base-pairing at the 3rd anti-codon position. Lineage: Eukaryota; Metazoa; Chordata; Mammalia; Rodentia; Bathyergidae. The record is from Rfam by way of RNAcentral.
UAGCUCAGUGGCAGAGUGCCUGCCUUGUAUGCAGGAGGCCCUGGGUUCAUCCCCAG